This 460-nucleotide ribosomal RNA is filed under the name uncultured bacterium. RNAcentral describes it as "partial 16S ribosomal RNA". It matches the Rfam family "Bacterial small subunit ribosomal RNA", at positions 338 to 795 of the family's 1533-position model. The record is from RNAcentral.
CCUACGGGGGGCAGCAGUGAGGAAUAUUGGUCAAUGGAGGCAAGUCUGAACCAGCCAUGCAGCGUGCAGGAUGACGGCUCUAUGGGUUGUAAACUGCUUUUAUGCGGGGAUAAACCCCGUUACGUGUGUCGUAUUGCAGGUAUCGUACGAAUAAGGAUCGGCUAACUCCGUGCCAGCAGCCGCGGUAAUACGGAGGAUCCGAGCGUUAUCCGGAUUUAUUGGGUUUAAAGGGUGCGUAGGCGGUCGGAUAAGUUAGUUGUGAAAUUUUGGGGCUCAACCCUGAAACUGCCGUUAAUACUGGUGGACUAGAGAGUAGCAGAGGUAGGCGGAAUGCAUGGUGUAGCGGUGAAAUGCUUAGAGAUCACAAAGAACACCGAUUGCGAAGGCAGCUUACCAAACUAUAUCUGACGCUGAGGCACGAAAGUGUGGGUAGCAAACAGGAUUAGAUACCCCGGUAGUC